RNAcentral lists this ribosomal RNA (202 nucleotides) under uncultured bacterium. Its description in RNAcentral is "partial 16S ribosomal RNA". It matches the Rfam family "Bacterial small subunit ribosomal RNA", at positions 130 to 334 of the family's 1533-position model. The record is from RNAcentral.
CCGAUGGAGGGGGAUAACUACUGGAAACGGUAGCUAAUACCGCAUAACGUCGCAAGACCAAAGAGGGGGACCUUCGGGCCUCUUGCCAUCGGAUGUGCCCAGAUGGGAUUAGCUAGUAGGUGGGGUAACGGCUCACCUAGGCGACGAUCCUUAGCUGGUCUGAGAGGAUGACCAGCCACACUGGAACUGAGACACGGUCCAG